UUUUUAAUAUAUUUUUGCUCCACGCGAGAAAGAUGCUUUCGACAUCGUAUGCAAAAGUUAUAGCCGUUUUACUUUUUCAUAACACUUUUUUGCAAAACAUGUCAAAAUUUAUGUUUUUGAAUUUUCCUAACUAAUAGUUGUAGUAACAUAAAUACAUCUCGAAGGAUUUUAAUUUUUGAAGUUUUUAUCAUUUUCUUUUCUUUUUUUGAAAACUAAAAUGGCGAUUAGGGGGGGCAGCAUAAUGGACGAAGGCGGGGGUAACAUGUCGGAUGUGAUCAAUACCAGCACUAAAGCACCGGAUCCCAUCAAAACUCCGAAGUUAAGCGUGCUUGGGCGAGAGUAGAACUAGGAUGGGUGACAUCCUGGGAAGUCCUCGUAUUGCAUUCCC
This 388-nucleotide ribosomal RNA is filed under the name Hordeum euclaston. The record is from RNAcentral. Lineage: Eukaryota; Viridiplantae; Streptophyta; Magnoliopsida; Poales; Poaceae.